AAUGCUCUUAAACUCAUCUGCUGUGUGAUCCCUCUAAAAAAUCGCCCCACCAGUCAUCACCUUGUAACGUGCGAGGCUGCAUUCACUCCCCUACUUUCGGCGUUUCUCCCUCUCCGCUUGCGCAAUGUAUCAAUGAAGAACCGUAAAGUGUUAAAUGUUUGAAAUACAAAACCGCCGAAUUCCACAUGCUGAAAGAGGACUCCGCUACUCGUGCGCGCGGCACUGGUGUGUCUGUGCAAUAGACUCUGCACAGAAAAACUACUCUCACACGCCUGCAAGUCCGCGGCUGCAGAAAGGACGCUGAAACCCUCAUUUUUCAGUUUCAAGACAAACGCUUAAAAAUCAAACUGGCUCACGUUCUUUCCAACCAACCCAGUUUGACAGCUGCUCUUCACCCCACUUGGAGGACUGUCAGCAGCAAGAGGAUGGCAUCAGAGCUGGCAAUGAGCAACUCCGACCUGCCCACCAGUCCCCUGGCCAUGGAAUAUGUUAAUGACUUCGAUCUGAUGAAGUUUGAAGUGAAAAAGGAGCCGGUGGAGCCCGAUCGCAACAUCAGCCAGUGCAGUCGCCUUAUCGCCGGGGGAUCCUUGUCUUCCACCCCGAUGAGCACGCCGUGCAGCUCGGUGCCCCCUUCCCCAAGCUUCUCGGCGCCCAGUCCGGGCUCGGGGAGCGAGCAGAAGACACACAUAGAGGAUUUCUACUGGAUGUCCGGUUAUCAACAGCAGUUGAAUCCAGAGGCGCUGGGCUUCAGCCCCGAAGACGCAGUCGAGGCGCUGAUCAACAGCACUCACCAGCUCCAGUCGUUCGAUGGCUAUGCCAGGGGCCAGCAGUUUGCUGGCGCAGCCGGAGCAGGGGGCACCAUGGCCGGGGAAGAGAUGGGGUCCGCAGCGGCGGUGGUGUCGGCAGUUAUCGCUGCUGCAGCCGCUCAGAACGGAGGGCAACACCACCACCACCACCAUCACCACCACAGCAACAGCCACCACCAAGCACCUGGCGUCCAGUCCAACGGCACUUCUGGGACAAUUCACCCUCACAUGCGCUUGGAUGACCGUUUUUCAGACGACCAGCUGGUCAGCAUGUCAGUGCGGGAGCUCAACCGGCAGCUACGGGGGGUCAGCAAGGAAGAAGUGAUCAGAUUGAAACAGAAGAGGAGGACCCUAAAGAACAGAGGCUACGCGCAGUCCUGCCGGUUCAAGCGGGUCCAGCAGCGGCACGUCCUAGAGGGAGAGAAGACGCAACUCGUCCAGCAAGUCGAUCACCUAAAGCAGGAGAUCUCCAGGCUGGUCCGGGAGAGGGACGCGUACAAAGAAAAGUAUGAGAAGCUCAUCAGCAACGGCUUCAGAGAAAAUGGAUCCAGCAGUGACAACAACCCUUCAUCCCCGGAGUUUUUCAUGUCAUCCAGAAAAUUCCUCCAUCUGUGAUUUCAAGCCCCAAUGGUCCGUGCCCUUGGCUCGCUGAGGCAGGCACACCUCAGGGGUUCGCCAUGCAAAGACACACUGGAGUUCAGAGCCGUGCAGGGAGUUGAAGGACCCAGAAUAUGCUGACAAAGAUAAAACACCAGAUAACCCAAUGACUGAGCAGUGAUGACAUCAGACCGGCUGACCAAUUGCACGAAGACACCUACAAAGCACAACGUUCAAAAAUAACUUCACUGAAGAACAAAAGACAAGACCCGCUGAAAUUCCUACAGUGAAAUUCUUGAAAGCCUCUUACUACUCCUGAUUCUCUCCCUAAUAUUUUACCUCCAGCUUUUUUCUACAAAACACGAAAGAAAAAAAAAGACUCAUACUCCUGAGAUGGUUGACAAUGUCAGAUAGAUACACUGGAAGGACUAUUUUCUCUUCGGUGGGAAGAUCAUUAAUGCAUGCCUCUGUAAAUAGAUCAUAAUAAAACCCUAUUCUUAUUCCUAAUAUAGGAAACAUAACAAGUCAUUCUCAUCAACACCAUAAACCUUCAUGUCUGUGGAUUGAGUACUCAUGGUUCAAUAUUUUCAAUAUAAAAUAAGUAUUCUUCUUAUCUCCUCAGAGACCAUGUACUUAUCAUUUCCAAUAUCAUUUCUCUACUCUUUGGAGUUAUUUGGACUGUAAAAAGUGUACUUCGUAUUCUUCUUAUUCUCUUUACAGAACAGCCUAGUCUUCCUCUCCAAUAUCCACACUAGAACAUGUAAAUAGAGAUGAAUGAGGACAACAGCAUGGAACAGACUUUAGUGUAUAUUUACCACUCCCCUAGUAGAUCACAAAUCGCAAUAUGUGGAUAGUUCAGUUAACCAUUUUAAAAGUUUAAAAUACUUGAACUUGUUUUCUUAUAGUUAAGACAUAGUCCUAGGUAACUGGACUUUUCCUAUGUAUUUAAAUAGAUGCAUAAAGACAUUAGCUAUACGUAAUGAUAUUAUUUGACUACCUUAGGGCCUUAGGGUAGUCAAGGCAGCAAUCCAUUUGGUAUCAUCAAUCAGUUCCAUCAGUUAACAAAUGUCAAAAUGAGAGGAAAAGACAAUUCACUAAAGCCAGUCCCAGUCUACCUUGGUACUACUAAAUGUUAUUUUUUAACUUUUUGUAUUGUUUUAUAUUGUUAUUUACACUUUAUGCCCCAGUACCCUACCUAUUUAAUCUUUCCCAUGGCAAUAAUAGCCCUCUCCUUCCACAUGUGUGGGUUGUAACUGCUGUGGCGAAGCUGCUGUUAACCUGUGAGGGCCAUUUUUUUCUUUGCAUUGUUUGAUACGGUGCUCUGAUCCUGAGCCUACAAAUGGGAGAAAAGAACACUUUAUUGAUUGCAAUGUAGACACGAGGACUCUGACCUCCGUCUUCCAUGGACUACGAAGAUAACCAAAUGGACUGACAGAUAAUAUGCCAAGCCAACGAAGAGACAACCUCACAGGUUACCCCGUCACUGGAGAAGACAGAAAACCUUUGCAUGGACAACAGGGAAAAUACUAGUUUGUUGAACACCUCAUCUCCACUUCUGCAUCCUCUACCUCUCACUGUGUGCUGUGCAUCUACAUUAGGAAACCAUGACUUAUCUGGGACUCUUCUACUAUCUCAACAGCCCAUGUCAAUACUGCAUGUUCCCAGAGCCUCAUGAGAAAAGUGUCCAUUCUUAUGGAUGCACAUUGCGAUGGGGAAAAAAAACAAACACUGGUUCACUUUGACACCAACGCACCCUCACAUUGGAGCGCAUCAUUAAACAGCGCUCAAAUAUGUUGCUGUAUAUAUGUACAGUGUAUCCCUUAUAAAUAGUCUCAGAUGCUGUACUUUGCAUGUUGACUUGUAGAUGGUACGUGACCAUUACUCAUAAAAGAGGUUGCGCAGGUAGGCCUAGUCACUCUUUUUUGAGAUUGACUCUCUAAGCCAAUGCAAGCUCUUUGUCAGCUUUGCAUCUACUUAUUUUUGGUAACAAACACAAACCACAAAAUAAACUGUUUCACAGCCCCCGUUUCUAUUGUGAAAGGUCCUCUUCAGCCAAACAGCAGCACUGAUAGAUUCUACACUCUUUGAAGGAACACAUAACCUCGCCUUUGAUGUCAGACAGAACCUGGUCAAAGUGAGCGUGGGUAGGAGAGAGAGGAGAGAAGGCAAACUGGGGCGCUCCAAUUAAGUGGCAGCACACAAAGUGGCAUGGGGCAUCCUUCCAGCAACUGUCUAUUCAUCCUAUGUCAAAGGGAUUUGCACAUCUCAAUGAGUCUACGCACUGCCAGAGAAGUCCGAGAGCAAAGUUGAGAAAGGCAGCAAGGCUGGAGAGAAAGGAUAGGAAAGGAAAAGAGACUAUUUUGACCAAAAUUUACGCUUGUACCGAGCUUAUAUACAAAUAUUCUCCUUGUCUGUCUAUGAACAGAUGGCCUAUAUAAUAUUCUUUUCUGAUCGGCAGCCACCUUGGAGAGUUCAAUAACCCCUUAACCUCAAACUGUUAGACCGUUAUGCAGCUCUCUGGGCUGUCGUGACCUCACGUCCUGUCUGAGGUUAACACUGUGUUAAUGAGCAUGCCCUCAGCUCUACCAGAUGUUCAGCCCUGUGGUUAAAUACCUGUUACCCUUCUAUACCAAUGGUUCUUCAAUGCCUGUCCACAACAGCUGUACUCUUUCACAGAUGCAGCUCCAGUAACAAUUUAACAUGUGAAAGAUCAUGUUAAGUAGGGAGAAAUUAGAUUAGAACUGUGUACAAGAGGUGAGUUUCCCGUUUUACAGAACAUAAUCAAACUGAUCAAAUUCUAGUCUAUGCACUGUAUAUCAAGAAAUUUGUAAUUUAGAAUACAGGUAAUGUAGAUUAAUUAAUUUGUAUGUCCACUUAUGCGGGCAAUUUAAAUGAAGAAAUCUUCUUAAUUAAAAUACUGUCAGGGUACACUGUAUCAGAUGAGGGUAUUUACAGUCAACAUGUAAACAAACUUGAAAUUAGGACUUAUGACAUAGCAGUGAUGACUUAAAGAAGAUUUAUAUUACAGGAAGGAUGAAGAUGUCAGUCAAACAUGAGACGAUGUAUGUGGUAGGAAACAAGACAUUGAGCAAGUGCUUGUCUUCUCUGAGCCUCAAGGCUUUCCACUUUUUUAGAAGUCAAACAAAACUCCAUUCCUGCACAGCUGCAGGCAGUGUGUGACAGGUUGAUUUGUUUUUCUCUGCUUUUGAAUGCAAGUACUACAUUGCCCUGAUAGUCAGGGAGCAUGUCUGUUUUAUCUGGCAAUGACAGUGACCAGGGUCAGCAGCACACAUAUGUAAAUAUGCAGUGAUGUACAUGUUCAUAGACAGAAUGUGUAAAAGUGCACCAAACCCCCCCCCACACACAACACACACACACACACACACACACACAAACACACACACACACACCAUGCUAAUAUAAACAGCAAGGCUGUAUGUAAACAGAUCGUCAACAUAAUGGGAUUGUUCAGUGUGCAAACAAUAAGCUGUUAGCGUAAUCACAGGUCAAAGAUAUAUUACCCAAAAGGCCACGCUGGAGGUAUAUUAACAUGAUGGAUAUGUGGGAGAGAGGAGGGGGGCAGGGAUAUGAAAGAUAUAGAGCGCUACCGACUCAGAUAUACCCCCUAUUGGGCCCUGUCCGCAGCUUCUCUCUCGCUCCUCCACCUCCCUCGUAUGGGCCCCACUUAAUCAGCCUUCCUCAUUCUCUUUUUGCUGCUUCCCCUAUUCACCCACCUCCUUUUUAGACACUAGGUCCUUACCUUUCUUUACCAUUUCCCUGCUCUAAUACCUCAACCCUACCUCAUUCCCUCCUCCCAUUUCUCUUUUUUUCCGGGAUGGAUAUAAUCUGUUUCAGCAAGCGAUCCAUUCAUCUCUGAGGUCAGUGUGGGAGCCGGAUAAAGCAGCUCCACAAUCUUGUUUUUGGAUUAAGCAAAAGAUGGUGUGGGUGAGCAAAAGAGCAUGGAUAAGACAGGAAGACAGUAUGACAGUAUUUUUGUAGCAUCAAGUUAGAGAUAGAGAUAGAUCUACACACCCAUGCCCUUUAUCUCUACUUUACCAUGUUAAAAGCACCAUGCUUGUGUGUCUCAAUGAGUAGAAGCACACUAGUGCCAUGUCAGUCAAGAUAAAUCCUGUGUAGCUUACUCCAUUGUACAUUCAUCUUAGUAACUUAUCUCCGCUUUAUUUGAUUACCAUCUAGCCCAUUCUCUCAAAUGGUUAAUAAGUAUAAGUCUCCUGACUAAACACUCCAUUAGUGUCAUCAUUGGCUAGCUUGUGUGUUUGUGCGUGUGUGUGCGUGUGUGUGUGUGUUGCGUACAUUUGUGGACAACUGGGGUAGAUACACAUUGGAGCCAAGUAACAGAGUAAACAUAGAGGCAGAACACUGGGGAGAAAAACAACCUGCAAGACAGACAUUCGGUGCAAAGGUGCCUAUCUGAUGACAGUAACUGGCCCCAUUGACUUUUGGUUCAGAUGUGGUUUAAAGGGCAACUAUUAUAUAGCAUUUCAAUGUCAGCAUGUCAUUCAAGUGACAGCCUUUGAUGUGUUUGAUUGCUAACUUGUAGCCAGCAGUGAGAUAACUAUGGAGGUCCAUAUUUAUUGUACUGACAUUACAGAAGUCUCUUGUUAGCAUCUUGUAAGCUACUCUUACAAAGUGACGCAUGCGCAACUCACAUCUGCACUUGUCGAAAAGAGAUGCAUGCGCAACCCCCAUCUGCCCUUCUCUCACAUCUGGUAGUGACACCCUGUUUCAUAAGGGGGUAAGCCAGCCUUGACAAAGCGUACCUCCUAUGGAGCCAUUUUGGUGCUAUCAAGCCAUUCCCCGCCGAGGCAUUCCAUUGAUUGCCAAUCAUUUUGGCAUCACUUUGGCAGCAAAUAACUUUUAUCUGAACCGUUUAAAGACUUUAUUUGUCCAUUGCUUAUAUCUAAAGAAACACAACAAUUUUAAAAGGCUCAUCACCUUGUACCUCACGUUAUGACCCCGUAGCAGACGUAUUUGUAAAAAUAGGCUAAUGAUUGUAUCAUAACCAUACAACUUGCUGUCGCAAAGUCGACAAAUUACCAUAUUGUCAGGACAAGCUCGCAGGCAGUUUCGACUUACAUUAGCUGUUUUAGUUUAAUUACUACUACUUAUGUUAGAUUGCAUUUUAGUUAGCAAUAAUUAGCCUGUGCCUAUGUUCUCUCCUUACAUAUACCUGCUCUACGUCUCUGCGAGAUUGGGAAUGAUAGAUAUUCUCUUGGCAGAGCUACCAGAAGACUGACUGACAGGUUGCUCAUGUCACAUCUAUGUCUUCAAGCUCAGUUGGAGGCUGCGCAGUUAUGCUCAGCCAUUGUCCAUUUCUCAUACUGUCUAGGGUCUUUCACUAGUUGAAGCAGGAGUUACUGCAAUGGAGUACAUAGCAGGAGUUUGUAAUGUUAAAUAUUACCAAUAAAGGCUUCUAAACCAAAUAUUACACAACCGAACAUGUUCCAGCAGUAAAUUGAUCGGAAUUUGGGGAGAAAUGACCAGCAUUCGAUAAGAUUACAGCUAUGUCGUGUUAGCAUGCAACUGCUUAAUAGUUAGCGGCAUUCUAACUUGAGAUUGUAGUGGAACAAAGCAGCACUUCCUAUCGUCAAAAGAAUAAAGGCAGAUAAGACUUCUGAACCAAACAUUACCCAAUCUGACAUGUCUCAGCAGUAAUGCAACCCGGAAUUGGGGAAAAUUUAACAACAUUGGCAGCCCAGAUGACAUUGUUUAUUGCCGUUAGCCAUGUAGCUACUAUAGUUAGCAGUGGACACUUAAUAGAAUAUAGAAGCAAUUUCUACAAUCAAAAUAAAGGCUUUUAAACCAAAUACUACAUAAACUGAAAAUGUUUCAGGAGUAAUGUGACCCGGAAUUGGGGAGCAUUUAACGACUCUGGCAGCCAAGAUGACAUAUUUUACUGUCGUUAGCAUGUAGUUACAGCAACAAUGUUAACACCGCAGUGGCUUAAAAA
This is an RNA transcript of Etheostoma spectabile (orangethroat darter), 7374 nucleotides long. It is a transcript of the gene named MAF bZIP transcription factor a, with no coding region annotated. The transcript has 4 exons. Lineage: Eukaryota; Metazoa; Chordata; Actinopteri; Perciformes; Percidae. The record is from RefSeq and is a predicted model, not a curated record.